Molecule: ribosomal RNA, 403 nt
Filed under: uncultured bacterium
Lineage: Bacteria
Description: partial 16S ribosomal RNA
Rfam family: Bacterial small subunit ribosomal RNA
Source: RNAcentral
AUUGAACGCUGGCGGCAGGCCUAACACAUGCAAGUCGAGCGAGCGGCGGACGGGUGAGAAAUGUAUGGGGACUGCCCGAUAGAGGGGGAUAACUCCUGGAAACGGUAGCUAAUACCGCAUACUAUCGGAUAACCCAUAUGGGAUUAGCUAGUAGGUGGGGUAAUGGCUCACCUAGGCGACGAUCCCUAGCUGGUCUGAGAGGAUGAUCAGCCACACUGGAACUGAGACACGGUCCAGACUCCUACGGAGGCAGCAGUGGGGAAUAUUGCACAAUGGGCGCAAGCCUGAUGCAGCCAUGCCGCGUGUAUGAAGAAGGCCCUAGGGUUGUAAAGUACUUUCAGCCGGGAGGCGUUACCGACAGAAGAAGCACCGGCUAACUCCGUGCCAGCAGCCGCGGUAAUUC